This 1202-nucleotide long non-coding RNA is filed under the name Homo sapiens (human). Its description in RNAcentral is "HSALNT0359929". Lineage: Eukaryota; Metazoa; Chordata; Mammalia; Primates; Hominidae. The record is from RNAcentral.
CCACCUCCACCCGCCCCCACCGCGGCCCAACUUGGAGGGAAUUGGGGUCCUGAGCGCCUGCCCCCCACAGCCGCCAGCGCAGAGCCACGCGCUGCCACCUUCGGUCUGGGACCCCUCUCUGCUGUUCUCCGCCCCCGCGGUGGGAAAAGUGGGCGCCGGCGGCUGCUUCCCAGCCCUGCUGAACCGAAAGUUCUGGGUUUCAGCGGGAGAUGGGGGCGCGCCACCGCGACCAGGUGCAGGAGAGGAGGCCACUUCGCACAGAAUCAGCAACUGUCCAAUGGUCUGGCCCGCACAGCAGGAGUUGUGAGGUUCCCACGUGGCUGGGUACAAGGGGAACGUUCCAAAGCCCGUUGGUUGGUCUGUUGGAAUGUGGGGGCGGGUGGGGCUUCUGGACUGGGAAGUGCUGCGCACCUUCCCUCAUCUGCUGAGCGAUCUGGCUUCACUGCUUCAUGCUACACACCCGACAGCUGAAUAGUUUUCUCCAAAUCUCUUAUUUCCCGACUCCUUGGCCACCAUGUGUGAAGCUGAAGAUCAGACCAAAAGGGGAAGGGGUUAAAAUAUAAUAUCUGGGGUUCGACCAUUAAAAAGUUUAAAUUUACAGAUUGAACAGGAGAAUCUGGAACCAGGAGUGAGCAGAGCUGGCCCCAGGCCUUGGUGGCUGUGUACUAGUUCUGUGACCUGCAAUCAGUCACUUAACUUCUGUGAGCUCCUCUCUUUCCGUCUGUAAAAAAGGAAUAUGUACUACCCACUUCCUGAGUAGAUGUUGAAGAUGUUGUAAAAGGUUCGAGUCAACCAAUUAAAAGCAAUAGAUCACAUGAAGAUGAGUAUAUCUUCUGUUUGUUGGGACAUAAUCCAGAGAGGAUCUUUCUCCCCAGAUAUUAUGGGAUGGCCACAUUUUACAGCUGAGAGUGACAAGGCUUAGAAACUAAACAUAUAAGGUCCUGCCCCAUCUCCUGGAAGAAGGAAUGCUACACAGAGAGGCUAAGAAGACUCUGGACAGUGCAGAAUCUGGAGCUAGAGAAAAAUUUAAAAAGCCACAAGGAUGUGAAUUGCUGAGCCUGAGAUAGAAGAGGUAGGGAAAAAAAACAUAAGAACCUGCUUGUCUUCUGUUGAGUUAAAACGAACUAUUUUUUAAAAUAGUGUGAAAUAAAGGAAAUGAGAGACAUAUUAAGGAUAUGCUACAGUGAAUGUAGAGACAAGUG